Molecule: non-coding RNA, 45 nt
Organism: Schistosoma haematobium
Lineage: Eukaryota; Metazoa; Platyhelminthes; Trematoda; Strigeidida; Schistosomatidae
Source: Rfam
AUCCAGCUGACGAGUCCCAAAUAUGACGAUACGCGCGACCUGGAU